CAGAGGACAUCAUGUUUAAUACGGUUCCGGAAAAAUCCAGUCAGAAGUUGUUCACGGGGUUUUCACAAUAACUGCUUCUCAUGAACCGGAGCUGGACGUCUCCUUCUGAAAGUUGGAUUACUGUGCACUUCUGGAUCACAGGCUAUUCGCAGCUGUACACAUCCUUCUACACUGUAUGCAAACAUGCAACAUCAUAACACACAGUACAAGGAGUCAGACUGGCAUAUGAGGAGCAAAGGAACCCAGGCAGUAGCAUCGUUUCACAAUGUUUCCAUCAUCAUCAUCAGUGGAUGCCUUUGCCGUCCGUAGCCUGAGAUUUCAGAUUUGCAGCAAAAAAAUUUGAUUUUCUCAUUUAUUGGAAUGCUAUGCAGGUUGUACCUUGCAGCCAUCCAUUACAAUGUCACCAAGCCGUAACAAAAGCAGGAGAGGGAAAGUACAAGCCUAUGUUCCCAAAACACAAAAAUGACAUACCUUAUGUGGAGGAUGUGAUCAGGCUUGUGUUUGAUGAGGUAUUUGAAGAUAAGCUGAAGGAAGCCCUGAUUCCAAUGGACCUGGCAUCACAGUU
This is a long non-coding RNA of Paramisgurnus dabryanus, 565 nucleotides long. RefSeq lists it as uncharacterized. NCBI's taxonomy places the organism in Eukaryota, Metazoa, Chordata, Actinopteri, Cypriniformes, Cobitidae. The record is from RefSeq and is a predicted model, not a curated record.